This is a non-coding RNA of Schistosoma rodhaini, 46 nucleotides long. Lineage: Eukaryota; Metazoa; Platyhelminthes; Trematoda; Strigeidida; Schistosomatidae. The record is from Rfam.
ACACUGCUGAGGAGUCCCAAAACGGGACGAAACGGUCGUCUAGUGC